UGCUUUGUGCAGUGGCGGUAUCAUAGCCAAUGAGGUUUAUCCGAGGCGUGAUUAUUGCUAAUUGAAGAAAAGACUUUAAGAAAACAAACGUGGCUGUUUUGCUGGUCGGUAACAAUGAAGUCUAUUAAAAGUACUGUAUGUAC
Molecule: small nuclear RNA, 143 nt
Organism: Ursus americanus (American black bear)
Lineage: Eukaryota; Metazoa; Chordata; Mammalia; Carnivora; Ursidae
Gene: U4
Rfam family: U4 spliceosomal RNA
About the family: U4 small nuclear RNA (U4 snRNA) is a component of the major U2-dependent spliceosome. The structure of U4 snRNA from yeast and human has been reported.
Source: Ensembl